CAUAUGCUUGUCUCAAAGAUUAAGCCAUGCAUGUCUAAGUAUAAGCAAUUAUACCGUGAAACUGCGAAUGGCUCAUUAAAUCAGUUAUCGUUUAUUUGAUAGUACCUUACUACUUGGAUAACCGUGGUAAUUCUAGAGCUAAUACAUGCUAAAAACCCCAACUUCGGGAGGGGUGUAUUUAUUAGAUAAAAAACCAAUGCCCUUCGGGGCUCCUUGGUGAUUCAUGAUAACUUCUCAGAUCGCAUGGCUUUACGCCGGCGACGGUUCAUUCAAAUUUCUGCCCUAUCAACUUUCGAUGGUAAGGUAGUGGCUUACCAUGGUUUCAACGGGUAACGGGGAAUUAGGGUUCGAUUCCGGAGAGGGAGCCUGAGAAACGGCUACCACAUCCAAGGAAGGCAGCAGGCGCGCAAAUUACCCAAUUCCGAUACGGAGAGGUAGUGACAAUAAAUACUGAUACAGGGCUCUUUUGGGUCUUGUAAUUGGAAUGAGUACAAUUUAAACCUCUUAACGAGGAACAAUUGGAGGGCAAGUCUGGUGCCAGCAGCCGCGGUAAUUCCAGCUCCAAUAGCGUAUAUUAAAGUUGUUGCAGUUAAAAAGCUCGUAGUUGAACCUUUGGCCUGGCUGGCAGGUCCGCCUCACCGCGUGCACUUGUCCGGCCGGGCCUUUUCUUCUGGAGAACCGCAUGCCCUUCACUGGGUGUGUUGGGGACCAGGACUUUUACUUUGAAAAAAUUAGAGUGUUCAAAGCAGGCCUUUGCUCGAAUACGUUAGCAUGGAAUAAUAGAAUAGGACGUGCGGUCCUAUUUUGUUGGUUUCUAGGACCGCCGUAAUGAUUAAUAGGGACAGUCGGGGGCAUCAGUAUUCAAUUGUCAGAAGUGAAAUUCUUGGAUUUAUUGAAGACUACUACUGCGAAAGCAUUUGC
Molecule: ribosomal RNA, 921 nt
Filed under: uncultured fungus
Lineage: Eukaryota; Fungi
Description: SSU rRNA
Rfam family: Eukaryotic small subunit ribosomal RNA
Source: RNAcentral